RNAcentral lists this transfer RNA (73 nucleotides) under Neocallimastix californiae. It matches the Rfam family "tRNA". From Rfam's summary of the family: Transfer RNA (tRNA) molecules are approximately 80 nucleotides in length. Lineage: Eukaryota; Fungi; Neocallimastigomycota; Neocallimastigomycetes; Neocallimastigales; Neocallimastigaceae. The record is from Rfam by way of RNAcentral.
AUCCGAAUAGUGUAGUGGUUAUCACGUUUGCUUUACACGCAAAAGGUCUCCGGUUCGAAUCCGGGUUCGGGUA